UCAGACAUGGUGUAAUGGGAACACCGCCUCUUUUCGUCUUGCCUGGCAAUCACAUUCAGAGGCGGUUCAGGGUUUGAUUCCCUGUGUCUGGA
This is a non-coding RNA of Mycena vulgaris, 92 nucleotides long. Lineage: Eukaryota; Fungi; Basidiomycota; Agaricomycetes; Agaricales; Mycenaceae. The record is from the annotation of a GenBank genome assembly.